This 291-nucleotide ribosomal RNA is filed under the name Candidatus Pelagibacterales bacterium. RNAcentral describes it as "partial 16S ribosomal RNA". It matches the Rfam family "Bacterial small subunit ribosomal RNA", at positions 1 to 316 of the family's 1533-position model. The record is from RNAcentral. Lineage: Bacteria; Pseudomonadati; Pseudomonadota; Alphaproteobacteria; Candidatus Pelagibacterales.
UUUAAACUUGAGAGUUUGAUCAUGGCUCAGAACGUACGCUGGCGGCACGCCUAACACAUGCAAGUCGAACGAAGUAGCAAUACUUAGUGGCAGACGGGUGAGUAACAUGUAGGUAUCUGCCCUUUGGCCUGGAAUAACACGAGGAAACUUGUGCUAAUACCGGAUAAGUCUUUACGGAGAAAGCUUUAUGCACCAUUGGAUGAGCCUGCACUUGAUUAGUUUGUUGGUGGGGUAAUGGCCUACCAAGACAAUGAUCAAUAGCUGAUUUGAGAGGAUGAUCAGCCACAUUGG